UUCAGCAUCUUGCUCUUCACAAAACAAUGAUGUCCAUAAGCAUGGGCAACAAUUUACGCAUUAUACAUAUAUGUAAUGCAUUUUUAACAAAUCAAUGUGUAGUACUUUCCAGAAUCAAUGAAUAUACUUAGCGAGGCGUUAAAUGGCAACGAUAAAACUGCAGCUGUGGGGCAACCGCCGUUCUUUAUGGCUGUUUUGGAUAGUUUAACUGUGCACAGUAAAAUGUCGCUGAUCCACAGCCUCAAUCAAAAAGUUCCAUACCUGCGCCGGCUUUAGUAGAAAGCUAUGUACGGUUCCUCGUUCACACCAAAAUCGAACCGGUGGGCAUUAAGAGGAUUCUUGCCAAUUGCUGCUCGCUGUUUUCAAGCAUCAAUACUACAUAUACUGCGUGAAAUGUUCCUAUAUCGUUUACAUCACAACCAGCCCAGCAUCGCGGUCAGCUACUUUACACUGUGCGACCGUUUCGCAAUUGAAUUUGUGGUGAAAGCCCGCUAAUCACUGGACUUAGUAAUGCAACCACAAAUAUCUCGUUAUUUCAGCGAACAACUACCUGUUUCUGUGGCAUCGAGCGAAAGUGAUAAUCUGAAUCGUGUGUUGAUACUAACGUUGGGAUUUUCUUUGCACAUGACUAGACUCGUAUUAUAAUGCAAAAUAAGCCAUAUUCGUGAGCAUUGCCCUUGCUAGCUUGCUUUCCACCUGCUUUAAAUGCAUUUUUCGUGCAAAAUAGUCAUCAUUUGGAGAAAAAGCAGUUGCUUAAAAGGCAGUUGAAGAAGAAUAUCGUAACUGGACGAUGUCAAAUGACUACGACCAUCAUUUUAUGCGGCCUAGCACAAGUACACUUUUCCUUUGUUUACUUUCCAAAAUGAUUUGGGAAACGGAGAAUGUCAGUGCAGUGGCAUAUAUGUAUGUAACACCGCCUGUUUCUUCAAUGAAUUCCCCAAUGCGCCAGCACAUGCCCUGUAUGUUACAUGCGUUUAGCUACUCAGUUUGCCAAUCGCGCCCUCAAUCGUAGCAAGUAUUGUGGGGAAUGGUAUUGUGAAGGGUUAUUUACAAAAAGAGAUACACUACUACAUCAAUUCUGUUGGUAUAAUACUCGCUGCUCUGCCUGAGCCACAUCGGAGUGUAAAUGAACACCAUGGCGAGCCGGUGAUACGUACCGCAUUCCAGUGUUUUCAGAUGGUAUUUACGGAUUUUUUAAUUGUUAAGCCUUGCGUUGCCCACAGCUUUGCAUAGUCACUGCGGCAAAGUUUAACCCGCCCACAUGGCAGGCACUCAUUUGGCAAGUUAUAUCUGCGUUGCUGUAUAAUCUGCGUGCGCUUUCCAGUAUGGAAAGCAGUGCCAGCGGCAAGAUAUUGAUACACCAGUCGCGCAAUACAAGCUUAAGCGAGAGAGCACCUUUGAAUUAAAAUGCAUGCCCUUCGCGUUGAUGGGCCUGCUUACUAACAACAGCAUCGAACACGACAGGAAUGGUGAGAUGAUGGUUCGUUAGGGUUCGUCUUAAAUCAUGCAUACCGAAGCGGAGUAUUCAACACAGCGCAAAAGCAAUGCACGAAGAGGCAGAGGCUGCCGCUGUUGGGCGUGUGCAGGAUUUUCAAUCUGACAAUUUCUCAAACUUGAACCGGAUACUACUAAAUUUGGAAACCCGGAGAAACUG
Molecule: long non-coding RNA, 1654 nt
Organism: Rhagoletis pomonella (apple maggot)
Lineage: Eukaryota; Metazoa; Arthropoda; Insecta; Diptera; Tephritidae
Exons: 8
Source: RefSeq, a predicted model, not a curated record